ACUCCUACGGGAGGCAGCAGUGGGGAAUAUUGCACAAUGGGGGAAACCCUGAUGCAGCCAUGCCGCGUGUGUGAAGAAGGCCUUCGGGUUGUAAAGCACUUUCAGUAGGGAGGAAGGUAGUGUAGUUAACACCUGCAUUAUUUGUACGUUACCUACAGAAGAAGCACCGGCUAACUCCGUGCCAGCAGCCGCGGUAAGUACGGAGGGUGCGAGCGUUAAUCGGAAUUACGUGGGCGUAAAGCGCAUGCAGGCGGCCUGUUAAGUCAGAUGUGAAACGCCCGGGGCUUAACCUCGGAAUUGCAUUUGAAACUGGCAGGCUAGAGUCUUGUAGAGGGGUUAGAAUUUCGAGGUGUAGCGGUGAAAUGCGUAGAGAUCUAGAAGGAAUACCGAGUGGCGAAGG
This 400-nucleotide ribosomal RNA is filed under the name uncultured bacterium. Its description in RNAcentral is "bacterial SSU rRNA". It matches the Rfam family "Bacterial small subunit ribosomal RNA", at positions 335 to 721 of the family's 1533-position model. The record is from RNAcentral.